GAUGAAGAACGCAGCAAAAUGCGAUAAGUAAUAUGAAUUGCAGAAUUCAGUGAAUCAUCGAAUCUUUGAACGCACAUUGCGCCCGCUGGUAUUCCGGCGGGCAUGCCUGUUCGAGCGUCAUUUCAACCCUCAAGCCCCCGGGUUUGGUGUUGGGGAUCGGCUCUGCCCUUCUGGGCGGUGCCGCCCCCGAAAUACAUUGGCGGUCUCGCUGCAGCCUCCAUUGCGUAGUAGCUAACACCUCGCAACUGGAACGCGGCGCGGCCAUGCCGUAAAACCCCAACUUCUGAAUGUUGACCUCGGAUCAGGUAGGAAUACCCGCUGAACUUAAGCAUAUCAAUAAGCGGAGGA
RNAcentral lists this unclassified non-coding RNA (348 nucleotides) under soil metagenome. Its description in RNAcentral is "partial contains 5.8S ribosomal RNA, internal transcribed spacer 2, and large subunit ribosomal RNA". The stretch from base 1 to 120 matches the Rfam family "5.8S ribosomal RNA", at positions 35 to 154 of the family's 154-position model. The record is from RNAcentral.